UGGGGAAUAUUGCACAAUGGGGGAAACCCUGAUGCAGCGACGCCGCGUGAAGGAAGAAGUAUCUCGGUAUGUAAACUUCUAUCAGCAGGGAAGAAAAUGACGGUACCUGACUAAGAAGCCCCGGCUAACUACGUGCCAGCAGCCGCGGUAAUACGUAGGGGGCAAGCGUUAUCCGGAUUUACUGGGUGUAAAGGGAGCGUAGACGGCGGUGCAAGCCAGAUGUGAAAGCCCGGGGCUCAACCCCGGGACUGCAUUUGGAACUGUAUAGCUGGAGUGUCGGAGAGGCAGGCGGAAUUCCUAGUGUAGCGGUGAAAUGCGUAGAUAUUAGGAGGAACACCAGUGGCGAAGGCGGCUUACUGGACGGUAACUGACGUUGAGGCUCGAAAGCGUGGGGAGCAAACAGGAUUAGAUACC
RNAcentral lists this ribosomal RNA (414 nucleotides) under uncultured bacterium. Its description in RNAcentral is "bacterial SSU rRNA". It matches the Rfam family "Bacterial small subunit ribosomal RNA", at positions 355 to 786 of the family's 1533-position model. The record is from RNAcentral.